Molecule: non-coding RNA, 45 nt
Organism: Schistosoma rodhaini
Lineage: Eukaryota; Metazoa; Platyhelminthes; Trematoda; Strigeidida; Schistosomatidae
Source: Rfam
AUCCAGAUGACCAGUUCUAAGUAGGACGAAACGCUCGUCCUAGAU